ACGCAUUGACUGUGCGCCCAGACUGUUGAAAAACUUAUUUCAGUAUCCCACUGUAAAAAAAAAAAAAAAGGAAAUAAGAUAAAGUCCUACACAGUGACUAAGAAGUACACAAUGACUAAAAUAUCCCGAUCCAAGCCAAGGAGAGGUGAAUCGUUUACAACGGGGUCGCUGUCUCUGCCUGUCCAAAUGGCCGAGUGGAACUCCCUUAGGGCCACCUCAGACACUUCGAUAAACCUCUCCGGGACCUGGAAAAAGGAGAAAAAGGC
This is a long non-coding RNA of Syngnathus acus (greater pipefish), 266 nucleotides long. RefSeq lists it as uncharacterized. The transcript has 3 exons. The record is from RefSeq and is a predicted model, not a curated record. NCBI's taxonomy places the organism in Eukaryota, Metazoa, Chordata, Actinopteri, Syngnathiformes, Syngnathidae.